GGUGGUUCUCGGGUGACACCCCGGAAUAGGGCUCCCUCCUCUCUGGUUCCGAAUAUGUCACCCGAGAACCGCA
Molecule: non-coding RNA, 73 nt
Organism: Myotis davidii
Lineage: Eukaryota; Metazoa; Chordata; Mammalia; Chiroptera; Vespertilionidae
Source: Rfam